Molecule: ribosomal RNA, 467 nt
Filed under: uncultured bacterium
Lineage: Bacteria
Description: partial 16S ribosomal RNA
Rfam family: Bacterial small subunit ribosomal RNA
Source: RNAcentral
GACGAACGCUGGCGGCGUGCUUAACACAUGCAAGUCGAACGGAAAGGCCCUGCUUUUGUGGGGUGCUCGAGUGGCGAACGGGUGAGUAACACGUGAGUAACCUGCCCUUGACUUUGGGAUAACUUCAGGAAACUGGGGCUAAUACCGGAUAGGAGCUCCUGCUGCAUGGUGGGGGUUGGAAAGUUUCGGCGGUUGGGGAUGGACUCGCGGCUUAUCAGCUUGUUGGUGGGGUAGUGGCUUACCAAGGCUUUGACGGGUAGCCGGCCUGAGAGGGUGACCGGCCACAUUGGGACUGAGAUACGGCCCAGACUCCUACGGGAGGCAGCAGUGGGGAAUAGUGCACAAUGGGCCGAAGCCUGAUGCAGCAACGCCGCGUGCGGGAUGACGGCCUUCGGGUUGUAAACCGCUUUCGCCUGUGACGAAGCGUGAGUGACGGUAAUGGGUAAAGAAGCACCGGCUAACUACGU